This 497-nucleotide ribosomal RNA is filed under the name uncultured bacterium. Its description in RNAcentral is "partial 16S ribosomal RNA". It matches the Rfam family "Bacterial small subunit ribosomal RNA", at positions 28 to 507 of the family's 1533-position model. The record is from RNAcentral.
GAUGAACGCUGGCGGCGUGCCUAAUACAUGCAAGUCGAGCGAACAGACGAGGAGCUUGCUCCUCUGACGUUAGCGGCGGACGGGUGAGUAACACGUGGAUAACCUACCUAUAAGACUGGGAUAGCUUCGGGAAACCGGAGCUAAUACCGGAUAACAUGUUGAACCGCAUGGUUCAACAGUGAAAGACGGUCUUGCUGUCACUUAUAGAUGGAUCCGCGCCGCAUUAGCUAGUUGGUAAGGUAACGGCUUACCAAGGCAACGAUGCGUAGCCGACCUGAGAGGGUGAUCGGCCACACUGGAACUGAGACACGGUCCAGACUCCUACGGGAGGCAGCAGUAGGGAAUCUUCCGCAAUGGGCGAAAGCCUGACGGAGCAACGCCGCGUGAGUGAAGAAGGUCUUCGGAUCGUAAAACUCCGUUAUUAGGGAAGAACAAAUGUGUAAGUAACUAUGCACGUCUUGACGGUACCUAAUCAGAAAGCCACGGCUAACUACGUG